GACGAACGCUGGCGGCGUGCUUAACACAUGCAAGUCGAACGGGAAGAAAAGAAAGAGCUUGCUCUUUUUUGGAAUCUAGUGGCAAACGGGUGAGUAACACGUAAACAACCUGCCUUCAGGAUGGGGACAACAGGCGGAAACGACUGCUAAUACCGAAUACCUUCCAAUUUCCGCAUGGAGAUAGGAAGAAAGGGUGGCCUCUACUUGUAAGCUAUCGCCUGAAGAGGGGUUUGCGUCUGAUUAGCUAGUUGGUGAGGUAACGGCCCACCAAGGCGACGAUCAGUAGCCGGUCUGAGAGGAUGAACGGCCACACUGGAACUGAGACACGGUCCAG
This 334-nucleotide ribosomal RNA is filed under the name uncultured bacterium. Its description in RNAcentral is "bacterial SSU rRNA". It matches the Rfam family "Bacterial small subunit ribosomal RNA", at positions 28 to 334 of the family's 1533-position model. The record is from RNAcentral.